Aplysia californica (California sea hare) is the source of this 431-nucleotide long non-coding RNA. RefSeq lists it as uncharacterized. The transcript is spliced from 2 exons. NCBI's taxonomy places the organism in Eukaryota, Metazoa, Mollusca, Gastropoda, Aplysiida, Aplysiidae. The record is from RefSeq and is a predicted model, not a curated record.
AUCAGGACAUCGACACGAUAACAUCCACUUAAAGCUCGGAAAAGGCAAGAUAGACUUACUAAUGACAUCUUUUAGGCAGCCUCUCGGAGUGAUCUAACAUUCUGGUCAAGUUUGUCCUUGUCCGUCUUACUUUCAGCUGACAACGCCGAAUUGACCGCACAUGGAGGGUUAUGCCGACUGGCGAGACAAAAAUCCCGCCCCCGACGAUGAUGCCGAUGAUGAUACUGACGCAGUGGAACAGGUUGAUCUGCUUCUUCAACUCUAUUCGGCCGUCGUUGUCUCCACUGUCCAAACUCUCCGCCGAGUCCUCUCUGGGCUGCUGCUGUUGUUGCUGCUGUUUGAUGGAAGUCAUGGUGCUCGAAGGAAUGGUGGGCAACUGGCCUUUAGGAGACACGCUCAUAUUGAGAAGAAUCUGAUGGUUUCUUUGGCUU